GACGAACGCUGGCGGCGUGCUUAACACAUGCAAGUCGAACGGAAAGGCCCUGCUUUUGUGGGGUGCUCGAGUGGCGAACGGGUGAGUAACACGUGAGUAACAUGCCCUUGACUUUGGGAUAACUUCAGGAAACCGGGGCUAAUAUCGGAUAGGAGCUCCUGCUGCGUGGUGGGGGUUGGAAAGUUUCGGCGGUUGGGGCUGGAUUGGCUGCUUAUCGGCUUCCUGGUGGGGUAGUGGAUUUCCAAGGCUUUGACGGGUAGCCGGCCUUGGAGGGGGACCGGGCACAUUGCUCCUGCGAUACGCCCCAGACUCCUACGGUACGCAGCAGGGGGGAGCAUUGCACAACGGGCGGAAGCCUGAGGCAGCAGCGCCGCGUUCGUGAUGACGGCCUUCGGGUGGUAAACCGCUUUCGCCUGUGACGAAGCGUGAGUGACGGUAAUGGGUAAAAAAGCACCGGCUAACUACGUG
This 468-nucleotide ribosomal RNA is filed under the name uncultured bacterium. RNAcentral describes it as "partial 16S ribosomal RNA". It matches the Rfam family "Bacterial small subunit ribosomal RNA", at positions 28 to 507 of the family's 1533-position model. The record is from RNAcentral.